GUGAUGGGGAAUUGGAAACAGUAGUCGAUGCAGACUUGGGUGCAUGUAGAUAAUUAUGAAAGUAAUUGGAAGGCAACUUGCCCCGAACUGGAACCUUUAUUACCCUCCACCUCAGCCUGCAAGGCAGAUUUUACUAUAUUCUGUUAUGCAUACAAGACAGCUGCAUAUUGAUCAGAGUCAUAAACAAAGAGUCAUUAUUUCACCGCCUUAAGUAUCUAUAUUUUGAGCAAGCUGUUUAAAGUAAUAAUUAUUUGACUUCUCCAAUAACUGCUUGUUAGCAAUGGGCUAUUUGUUUUAUAGAGAAAGGGCUGCCUACUGUGAGUGGGUAUUAAAUGUUUUAUUGAUGCAACGAUACCAGGAGAUUUCGGAUGUGAGCUCUUUAAACAUUGGGUCCUAUAAUAAUAAUAAUGUAAUUAUAAAGAUCACCAAUGUAAUAAUAAUGAUCAUGAAGUACUUGGGGGGUGGGGUUAUAUAUUCCUAUAAAGACCUAUUUGCUAGAAACUGUCAUUCUUCUGCUGGAAGAAAAAGCCAUAAUUGUUGCCAAUUGAAUGUUGUACUAAUCCAAUCACAGUAAAUAAUCACUUUGCAUGGUAAUGUUUCAAGUUCAUUUCAACAACAUUGGACUUCAAUCUACUUACUCUCAAGCUUAUUCUAAGUAAGAACAGCUUACAAACAAAAAAGGGAGCUAAAUGGCGUUGGACCAAUCUCCUCCCAGUAUGACUAGAACAAACAACCUCCACCUGCAGAAAUAUAACAUCCAAGCCUUCCCAUAGAAACACUGAAACUAUACUGCUUUGUAUUCAGACAUGAAUACAAUCUAUUUGGGAUGGGUUUGCCAAACUAUUUUAAAAUGAUAGUAACGGCACCAGAGUCACCUCCUGCUGAUUUCCUUUAACAAAGUCUGGCUCUGUAAAUGCUCUGACUCAAUUUCAUUCUGUCACCUUCUCGCUCAUCACAGAUUUUGAGUUCUCGAAGGAGCUGUCAGUCAACUUUGCAUGUUCAUGCACACCUGUCUGCGUGUCUUUAAAAAAAAAAAGCAUAAAAUUCACACAGUUGCCAGCAGCUUCAUAGUAUCCACCAUCACUUCAAAAUAAUUCCGGAUGAAUCCAUUCUAGGAAAAGUCCUAACAGGAAAGAUUUAUGGCAGUAUUCUCUGCUGCUCCGGUAGCGAUUGUUUGCCAUGCCAGUCAUGCCCGCUUUCCACUUGUCUGCGAUUCUCAUCAAUCUACCUGACCAUUGCUAGAUUCUAUCUCUGCACUAAAUUAUUCUUUGGCAACCCAUGAUUACUUUUUUUCCCCCACAGCCCUAAAGAAUCUCAUUCUAGCCUACAAGAACUUCGCAAUAUUUAGGGCUGGAUGACAAGCAUUUUCAUUUCCUUAGUACUCAAGAAUCCUAUGGGCCCAUUAGCUUUCCAAACCUCCAUUCCAUGGGUGCUGCUGAUACAUUAAAAGGUAAUCCCUGUACACUUUUAGAGUCUUGAGCAGGUUGAAUUACUCUUGUAGACCUACUUCAGUCUAACUGCAAAAGGGAUCAGUUCUAACGGUACUGUUCCAUUAUCCAGGCGGAGGACACUAGGGGGUGCUAGAGAGAGAAGGAUAGUCCAUUUUACGGGGGCGGAGGGUGGGUUGAAGGAGGAAAACCAUUUCCCCCUAAUUUCCUGUUAUUCCCCCCACCCAUGUCUCCAUCAUGGGAAAUGGAGAGGCAGCACAACCAGCAAAAAUGGGGGAAAUGAUUUUCCUCCUUCAACUCCCCCUUCCCAUAAAAUGAACUAUCCUUCUCUCCCUAUCGCCCCCUACUGGCCUCCACCUGGACAAUGGAACACUACCAUUCUAAGUUCUGACAAGAAGGAUCUUUCUUGUCCCUAGCAGCCCAUUGAAAGGGGGAGAAAAGUAAGAAGAAGGUAAGUGAAGAGAAAGGCCGAGCUAAGCUAUAGUCCGCACAGCAUCUAUGACAAUACAGUGGGCCUUCCGUAUUCAUUGGGGUUUGGGUACCAAAAUCCAUGGCUGCUCAAGUUCUAUUAUACACAAUAGUGUGGUGCAAUGCUUUGGGGAUUUUUAAAGAAUAUUUUCAAGCCCUGCUUGGCUGAAUCCAUGGAAACAGAGCCCAAGGAUACAGGCUGUUGUUGUUGUUGUUGUUGUUGUUGUUGUUGUUAUUUUAUUAUGACCAAGAUAGAUAUGCUGGAUUUUGUAUCACAAAAUCACAAGUCUAGGACUGUGUGAUGUAUUUUCGGAUCAUGCGUGCAGAUCCCAGUAGGGUAGCCUUUUGCAGUUGGCAAAUCGUGAUUUUG
RNAcentral lists this long non-coding RNA (2286 nucleotides) under Anolis carolinensis (green anole). RNAcentral's name for it is "lncRNA (ENSACAG00000044372.1)". The record is from RNAcentral. Lineage: Eukaryota; Metazoa; Chordata; Lepidosauria; Squamata; Anolidae.